RNAcentral lists this ribosomal RNA (265 nucleotides) under uncultured bacterium. RNAcentral describes it as "partial 16S ribosomal RNA". It matches the Rfam family "Bacterial small subunit ribosomal RNA", at positions 28 to 290 of the family's 1533-position model. The record is from RNAcentral.
GACGAACGCUGGCGGCGUGCUUAACACAUGCAAGUCGAGCGGUAAGGCCCUUUCGGGGGUACGACGAGCGGCGAACGGGUGAGUAACACGUGGGUGACCUGCCCUCAGCUCUGGGAUAAGCCUGGGAAACGUGGGUCGUAAUACCGGAUAUGACUCCAUGACGCAUGUCGUGGGGUGGAAAGCCUUGUGCGGCUGGGGAGUGGGCCCGCGGCCUAUCAGCUUGUUGGUGGGGUGAUGGCCUACCAAGGCGACGACGGGUAGCCGG